This 481-nucleotide unclassified non-coding RNA is filed under the name Azorella spinosa. RNAcentral describes it as "partial contains external transcribed spacer and 18S ribosomal RNA". The record is from RNAcentral. Lineage: Eukaryota; Viridiplantae; Streptophyta; Magnoliopsida; Apiales; Apiaceae.
UUAGGCAGCGACAUCCGCUUGUUCGUUCUUGCUCAGGACUUGCCCAAGAGCAUGUUGCCUUGGCUCUUUUCGGUACACUGUGUUGCAUGCCGACAGUGAUGGAAUUUUGACGGUGCCGUUUGUCCCUAAAUUCACCUUGUGUUGCUCAUGCGGUGCGGGGUGAACAACGUAGUGCCUCGUGUUGUCCUGACUGUCAGCACUUCGUGUGUUGUCGGUGUGGCCGACGCGGGAGACUCGAACUCUCGGAUACAGAACGUAAAGUUGGGCGUAUGGGGUCUAGCACUCCGUAAGCCCAGAUUGAGCGCUCUCGCCAACGACGUUGCUCUUCUAGGGAAAGCUGGAAAGCUGUUGUUGGGCAGAGAAUGUCGAAAGACAGACUGUCGAACCUCGUCCCGUUGGGGUCCGGAGGCGUACGAGAGUACGGCCGAAGGCUGCUCGGGCGGGGGUGCUUCGACAAUGUUUGCCAAGGAAUGCUACCUGG